This is a long non-coding RNA of Oncorhynchus keta (chum salmon), 1574 nucleotides long. RefSeq lists it as uncharacterized. The transcript has 3 exons. NCBI's taxonomy places the organism in Eukaryota, Metazoa, Chordata, Actinopteri, Salmoniformes, Salmonidae. The record is from RefSeq and is a predicted model, not a curated record.
AACAACAUGAAUAAUAUAUAUCAUACUGUAUGCCAUCAUAUAAUACAAAAGUAUAAUUUAUAAUAUAUAUUAUCAUAGUAAUAUAUAAGUAAACUGUACUUACACUUUGGUCACUUAAAGUGCAUUCAGUUAAGGUAGCCUAGACAACCACAUUUCCAACCAAGGUAGCUAAGACAACCACGUAUCCAAGGUAGCUAAGACAACCACAUAUCCAAGGUAGCUAAGACAACCACAUAUCCAAGGUAGCUAAGACAACCACAUAUCCAAGGUAGCUAAGACAACCACAUAUCCAAGGUAGCUAAGACAACCACAUAUCCAAGGUAGCUAAGACAACCACAUAUCCAAGGUAGCUAAGACAACCACAUCUCCAAGGUAGCUAAGACAACCACGUAUCCAAGGUAGCUAAGACAACCACGUAUCCAAGGUAGCUAAGACAACCACAUAUCCAAGGUAGCUAAGACAACCACAUAUCCAAGGUAGCUAAGACAACCACAUAUCCAAGGUAGCUAAGACAACCACAUAUCCAAGGUAGCUAAGACAACCACAUAUCCAAGGUAGCUAAGACAACCACAUAUCCAAGGUAGCUAAGACAACCACGUAUCCAAGGUAGCUAAGACAACCACAUAUCCAAGGUAGCUAAGACAACCACGUAUCCAAGGUAGCUAAGACAACCACGUAUCCAAGGUAGCUAAGACAACCACAUAUCCAAGGUAGCUAAGACAACCACAUAUCCAAGGUAGCUAAGACAACCACAUCUCCAAGGUAGCUAAGACAACCACAUCUCCAAGGUAGCUAAGACAAUGACGUAUCCAAGGUAGCUAAGACAACGACAUUCACUACACAGUGCAUACGUUAUUUACAUAAGUAUUCAGACCCAUUCGCUCUGAGACUCAAAAUUGAGCAAAGUUGCAUCCUGUUUCCAUUGAUCAUCCCUGAGAUGUCUCUACAACUUGAUUGGAGUCCACCUGUGGCAAAUUAAAUUGAUUGGACAUGAUUUGGAAAGGCACAUACCUGUCUAUAUAAGGUCCCACAGUUGACAGUGUAUGUCAGAGUAAAAAACCAAGCCAUGAGGUGGAAGGAAUUGUCCAUAGAGGUCAGAGACAGGAUUGUGUCGAGGCACAGAUCUGGGGAAGGGUGUCCAACACAUUUCUGCAGCAUUGAAGGUCCCCAAGAACACAGUGGCCUCCAUCAUUCUUAAAUGGAAGACGUUUGGAACCACCAAGACUCUUCCUAGAGCUGGCCGCCCGGCCAAACUGCUGAGCCUAACAAAGUACUGAGUGAAGGGUCUGAAUACUUAUGUAAAUGUAAUAUUUUAGUAUAAAUAUUUUUGGAGAAACCAGUUUUUGCUUUGUCAUUAUGGGUUAUUGUGUGUAGAUUGAUGAAGAAAAAUGUCAUCAAUUUUAGGGGUCAAUUUUAGGGGUCUGAAUACUUUCCGAAUGCAAUGUAUAUACACAAAGGUAUGUGGACACCCCUUCAAAUUAGUUAUUUGACUAUUUCAGCCACACCCGUUGCCGACCGGUGUAUAACAUCGAGCACACAGCCAUGCAAUCUCCACAGACAAACAUUGGCAGUAG